Molecule: long non-coding RNA, 1936 nt
Organism: Zalophus californianus (California sea lion)
Lineage: Eukaryota; Metazoa; Chordata; Mammalia; Carnivora; Otariidae
Source: Ensembl
UUAAUUCUAAUUUAGCUUUAAUCAAGAAUUGGGUGGCAAAAAGAAACCAACCAAAAAACAAACAAAGGGUCUUGAUCCACUUAAAAUAAUUUUAUUUUCCAGACACGGGCUAAUGGUUUGAAGAUAAUGGCCUAGCAAGAUGGCAACGAGCUUAAAAAAUAGGAUUCCUAAGAAGUUACUUUUUUCAGAUGAAAAAAUGCUAGGCACACAGUGCUGCUGUCUGGUUGCCAUGGCGACCACAGCCUAUUAUCCUGCCUUGUCAUUCAUCAAGAAAGAAUUGCACUUGACAGAGGGAGAGGAAAAUGCCUGCAGUCUGCAGCAUAGGAGGAAAAAAAGAUGUGACUGCAGUGGUUGGCACCGGGAUGCUUAGACUCACUGUCUGCUCAAAGACGGAGCAGAUAUACCCACCCAGGCACUCUCCUGCUGCAUACCAGCCUGCUCUACCUGCAACGGUCAUUUUCUAGGACUCCGUACCUCUGCCACAUUGUUUGAAGCUGUGCUUCAAGGAGUCAUGAAAGCAUUUGCUUGGAUCUACUACCCAGCCUACCUAUGGAAUAAGUGGGUCAAGAAAUGCGCCUCUUUUUUUUGUGUAGUGCCUGUUUGUUUUUCAGUUGAGAGGGAAAAGCUUCAGGCAGAUGGGGUAUAGAUGUGAAGACUGGGGACAGCAAAUGAGUGGUCUUUUCCAUUGAGACUUUUCCAUUAAGAGGGUUUGCUGGGGGUUUUAAGCUCUUGAAUAUCAUUGCUAAUUCCAUUCUCUGAGGCACCAGUCCACUAGAUUACCCAGUUGCUCGUGGGAGCUUUCAUGGGGGUUGUAUUUCACACAUGAAAAUAAAUUUUCAUAAUUUAUUAUGAAAUAAUAAAUUUUAGAUUAUGAAUAAUCUAAAUGAUAUAUCUGUUUCUUUAUGGAAUAGACUUAGUUUAGCAAUAAACUAAGAUAGCUGACAUACCUGUAAUUCUCUGGGGAAGGAAAACUGCCACCCACCCUCCAGUCCUACAACAAUUACCCAAAUACUCACAACAUGAAUGGACCAAUUAGUGUUGAAUAUUUUCUAAUAUUUAUUAGCAAGACCCGGACUCAGUGUAAGCAAUUUUGAUACAAACAGAAGGGGAUGAUGAGCCUACACCAUGGUUUAUGGAGCUCAAGAAGGACAGUAAUACAUGGAAAACAAUCUCUAUCAGCCAGUAGGUGAGAAGACACAUAUGAGCAGCGUAGACAAUACAUAGGUGCUGCGGAAGUUGUGAAGAAGGAUCAUGAGUCUCCUAGUUACCAAGUCUCUGAAUUGUGCAGAUAUCCCCAAAUCCCACACCUACUUCACCCCCAUGCAGCCUGCUUCAAAACCCCUCCUGCAGCUCCUCUUUCUUUCUAUUCCUCAUGUCAGCACCUUACUUUAAGUCUUUAUCAACUUAUAUAUUUAAAUACUUAAACUCCUCACUGUGUUCUUACUGGCCUCUCCCCGCCCUGAUUCAUGGUGGUGCGGGGAGCACAAAUUCAGCUUCAAAAAGCACUACUUUAGAACAAACUAAUGGUUACCAGCGGGGAAGGGGUGGGAGGAUGGAGGAAAUAAGGCAUGGGGUUAAAGGGGUGCACUUGUCGUGAGGAGUACCGGGUGUUGUAUGGAAGCGUGGAAUCACUACCCGAUAUAUACACUAUAUGUUAACUAAUUGGAAUUUAAAUACAAACUUUAAUAAUAAAAAAAAACAAAACAGUGCACCUGGGUGGCUCAGUCGGUUAAGCAUCUACCUUUGGCUCAGGUCAUGAUUUCAGGGUCCUGGGACUGAGCCCCAUAUUGGGGCUCCCUGCUCAGUGGGAAGUCUGCUUCUCCCUCUCCGUCUGCCUUUCCCCCAACUCAUGCUCUUUCCCUCUCAAAUAAAUAAAUCAAAUCUUUAAAAAAAUUAAAUAAAAAUUAAAAUUAAAAAACACCACUUUGAUCCUUUU